AGGAUGAACGCUGGCGACGUGGAUAAGGCAUGCAAGUCGAACGGAUACUAUAGCAAUAUAGUAUUAGUGGCGAACGAGGUAGUAAUAGGUAGGUACGCACCCUGAAGUCGAGAAUAACUGAUCGAAAGAUCAGCUAAUACUCGAUAGUCUCUUCGGAGUAAAGUUUUAACGCUUCAGGAGCGGCCUGCUCGGUAUCAGCUAGUUGGUAGUGUAAAAGACUACCAAGGCUAUGACGCCUAGGGGAGCUGAGAGGCUGACCCCCCACGAUGGAACUGAGACACGGUCCAUACACCUACGGGUGGCUGCAGUCGAGAAUCUUCCACAAUGGACGAAA
RNAcentral lists this ribosomal RNA (334 nucleotides) under uncultured bacterium. RNAcentral describes it as "SSU rRNA". It matches the Rfam family "Bacterial small subunit ribosomal RNA", at positions 26 to 380 of the family's 1533-position model. The record is from RNAcentral.